RNAcentral lists this long non-coding RNA (261 nucleotides) under Manihot esculenta (cassava). RNAcentral's name for it is "long non-coding RNA (MESC_LNC003478)". Lineage: Eukaryota; Viridiplantae; Streptophyta; Magnoliopsida; Malpighiales; Euphorbiaceae. The record is from RNAcentral.
GUUCGGCCGCCGAACCCCUUGUGGAGGCAGUUCGGCUGCCAAAGGUUGCCCCCGAAAGCUAGGCUUUCGGUUUAGAAAGAGACUUUCGGCCGCCGAAAGAGGGAGUUCGGCCGCCGAAAGUGUGUGAGUUUCGUCUCUGGAGUGGGGUUUCGGCCGCCGAACCUGCCGCCGAAAGUGCCCUGUCCAGCUUUCUUUUGCAUGGUUUAUGUGAUGGUUUUAGGAUUGUUUAGAGAGGUUUUGGGGAGUUUCGUAAAGAUGUUC